GCCGGCAGCAGGCCACCACACUGCUUGAACAGCUACAGGAGGACUACAACAGACUGCUGACUAAGUACGCUGAAGCAGAGAACACCAUUGAUCGUCUGCGGCUGGAAGCUAAGGUGAACCUGUACUCUGAGCCACCAAAGCCCGGCCACUUGGUACAGUCAGGACUGAGCCACAACGUUUCAAAUGUCAUGACCUUGGACUUUGCUCAGGCUCAGAGAGCAGAGAUCAACUCAGCUUCUCCCUCUCCAAACGGACACAGUGCCCAUCAGAUCCUCCAGGUGGGACAACAGCUGGCGAAGACUCUCUACAAUCAGGCUGACAAGUUCCUCCAGCAGAUGCACACUUUUGAGGAUCUCCUAAAGAGAGGAAAACUCAAACCUUUUGAACAGAUGAAGG
This is a long non-coding RNA of Seriola dumerili (greater amberjack), 396 nucleotides long. RefSeq lists it as uncharacterized. The transcript is spliced from 5 exons. The record is from RefSeq and is a predicted model, not a curated record. NCBI's taxonomy places the organism in Eukaryota, Metazoa, Chordata, Actinopteri, Carangiformes, Carangidae.